Alligator sinensis (Chinese alligator) is the source of this 342-nucleotide long non-coding RNA. RefSeq lists it as uncharacterized. NCBI's taxonomy places the organism in Eukaryota, Metazoa, Chordata, Crocodylia, Alligatoridae. The record is from RefSeq and is a predicted model, not a curated record. The transcript has 3 exons.
GGGGAAGGAGUGUGUCUCAGAGCUCUAUGGAGAGGCUUGGUGAGCAGUGCAAAGGCUGGUGGAGGGGAACUAUGGAGGACCCAGAGAGACGACAGCAACUCCAGAAGGACUGUAGCAGACAGUGGGGGAGCAGAAGCAUGACCCCCAUGAGAAACAGGAAGCCAAGGCACAGCAUGGUUAAGAGGCCCAACCAAGACUGCAGAAGAAGAGAGUGGCAGAGCAGGAGUCAACAGCAAGCUUUCUCCUGAUUACUAGGUGGGAAACAACACCCUCUAUCAUCUUCAUUCUAGGUUGAGGGAAAGGCUGCCUUUGAAAAACAGGAUUCUGGAGCUUCUACUUGGG